Molecule: transfer RNA, 50 nt
Filed under: Campanula polyclada
Lineage: Eukaryota; Viridiplantae; Streptophyta; Magnoliopsida; Asterales; Campanulaceae
Description: partial tRNA-Leu
Source: RNAcentral
AAAAUCAGUCGAUUUUCAAAAUCGUGAGGGUUCAAGUCCCUCUAUCCCCA